RNAcentral lists this ribosomal RNA (389 nucleotides) under uncultured bacterium. RNAcentral's name for it is "bacterial SSU rRNA". It matches the Rfam family "Bacterial small subunit ribosomal RNA", at positions 28 to 419 of the family's 1533-position model. The record is from RNAcentral.
GACGAACGCUGGCGGCGUGCUUAACACAUGCAAGUCGAACGGUGACGGAGAGCUUGCUCUCCUGAUCAGUGGCGAACGGGUGAGUAACACGUGGGCAACCUGCCCAGACUUCGGGAUAACGCUUCGAAAGAGGUGCUAAUACCGGAUACGAGCUCCUUGGGCAUCCUUGGAGUUGGAAAGUUUUUCGGUCUGGGAUGGGCCCGCGGCCUAUCAGCUAGUUGGUGAGGUAACGGCUCACCAAGGCGACGACGGGUAGCCGGCCUGAGAGGGCGACCGGCCACACUGGGACUGAGACACGGCCCAGACUCCUACGGGAGGCAGCAGUGGGGAAUAUUGCGCAAUGGGCGAAAGCCUGACGCAGCAACGCCGCGUGAGGGAUGACGGCCUUC